This is a non-coding RNA of Salmo salar (Atlantic salmon), 54 nucleotides long. The record is from Rfam. NCBI's taxonomy places the organism in Eukaryota, Metazoa, Chordata, Actinopteri, Salmoniformes, Salmonidae.
UGUGUUCACUACUGUAAGUCGCUCUGGAUAAGAGUGUCUGCUAAAUUACUAAAA